CGCGGAUGCGACUCUUUGAGUCGUGUGGUAGCGGAGCGUCGAGCGUGCAGCGAAGCGGCGGGACAACCCAGCCGUGGAGCGCGUUCGAGUGCGAAUGUUGGCAUGAGUAGCGAAUGAGGGGUGAGAACCCCCUCCGCCGUAUGUCCAAGGGUUCCUGGGCGAGGCCAAUCCUCCCAGGGUGAGUCGGGAGCUAAGGCGAGGCCGAGAGGCGUAGUCGAUGCACAACUGGUUGAUAUUCCAGUACCACCAUGUUCGCGUCCGUCCCAAUACUCUGUUGCUAAGGGGCUGUGUUGACUUCGGUCAACGCGAACCGACCCACAUUGUUGCGGGAAGCUGUAGGGGGACGCAGGAAGGUAGAUGAACCCGGUGAAUGGUAGAACCGGGUAAGCGUGUAGGAGGAGGACCAGGUAAAUCCGGGCCUCAUAAACUCUGAGACGUGAUACCGAGCCGCUUCAGGCGAAGUCAUUGAUCCUAUGCUGCCUAGAAAAGCCCAGCAGCGAGUUGACAUGGUGCCCGUACCCCAAACCAACACAGGUGGACAGGUAGAGCAUACCAAGGCGAGUGGGAUAACUAUGGUUAAGGAACUCGGCAAAUUGCCUCCGUAACUUCGGGAGAAGGAGGACCCCAGUAGCGUGAUGAGACUUGCUCUCUGAGCGUGAAGGGGUGGCACAAAAUUGAGGGAAGCGACUGUUUACCAAAAACACAGCAGCGUGCUAAGCCGUAAGGCGCUGUAUACGCUGUGACUCCUGCCCGGUGCUGGAAGGCUACGGGGAUGGGUUAGUCCUUCGGGACGAAGCUCUGAACCUAAGCCCCAGUAAACGGCGGCCGUAACUAUAACGGUCCUAAGGUAGCGAAAUUCCUUGUCGGGUAAGUUCCGACCUGCACGAAUGGAGUAACGACUUCCCUACUGUCUCAACCAUAGACCCAGCGAAAUUGAAGUACGAGUAAAGAUGCUCGUUAGCUGCAGAAGGACGGAAAGACCCCGUGGACCUUUACUAUAACUUGAUGUUGUGUUUUGUCAUAUGUUGUGUAGGAUAGGUGGGAGACUUGGAAGCAUGGACGCUAGUCUGUGUGGAGUCAUCGUUGAAAUACCACCCUGCAUAUGGUGAGGCUCUAACCUAGACCCGUUAUCCGGGUUGGGGACAGCGUCAGGCGGGUAGUUUAACUGGGGCGGUUGCCUCCUAAAGAGUAACGGAGGCGCCCAAAGGUUCCCUCAGCCUGGUUGGCAAUCAGGCGUUGAGUGCAAUGGCAAAAGGGAGCUUGACUGCGAGACCUACAAGUCGAGCAGGAGCGAAAGCUGGGCAUAGUGAUCCGGCGGUUGCGUGUGGAAGCGCCGUCGCUCAACGGAUAAAAGGUACCCCGGGGAUAACAGGCUAAUCUUGCCCAAGCGUCCAUAGCGACGGCAAGGUUUGGCACCUCGAUGUCGGCUCAUCGCAUCCUGGGGCUGAAGCAGGUCCCAAGGGUUGGGCUGUUCGCCCAUUAAAGCGGUACGCGAGCUGGGUUCAGAACGUCGUGAGACAGUUCGGUCCCUAUCCUCUGCAGCCGGAGGUGAAUUGAGAAAAGCUGUCCCUAGUACGAG
This 1579-nucleotide ribosomal RNA is filed under the name metagenome. RNAcentral describes it as "bacterial LSU rRNA". It matches the Rfam family "Bacterial large subunit ribosomal RNA", at positions 1201 to 2687 of the family's 2925-position model. The record is from RNAcentral.